AUUUGAACUGACUGACAUUUAAUUGAAGACAUCCUUUCUGAAAGGAUUUUUAUUUAUGUUAAGUUUAAAUAACGUAAUCAUUCUUUGUCAUUGUUCCAAAGCUUGGCUCUUCGUUUUUCUAUAACAUUCCUGGUUCAAUUCUACCUCUAUAUAAAGAGGUCGAAUGAGAUGUAGAAGUUCACCCUGAUAUUCUUGAGGAUGAGUAA
Long non-coding RNA from Ipomoea nil (Japanese morning glory), 206 nucleotides. RefSeq lists it as uncharacterized. Lineage: Eukaryota; Viridiplantae; Streptophyta; Magnoliopsida; Solanales; Convolvulaceae. The transcript has 3 exons. The record is from RefSeq and is a predicted model, not a curated record.